RNAcentral lists this ribosomal RNA (433 nucleotides) under uncultured bacterium. Its description in RNAcentral is "partial 16S ribosomal RNA". It matches the Rfam family "Bacterial small subunit ribosomal RNA", at positions 29 to 507 of the family's 1533-position model. The record is from RNAcentral.
AACGAACGCUGGCGGCAGGCCUAACACAUGCAAGUCGAGCGCGCCCUUCGGGGUGAGCGGCGGACGGGUGAGUAACGCGUGGGAACGUGCCCUUUUCUACGGAAUAGCCUCGGGAAACUGAGAGUAAUACCGUAUACGCCCUUUGGGGGAAAGAUUUAUCGGAAAAGGAUCGGCCCGCGUUGGAUUAGGUAGUUGGUGGGGUAAUGGCCUACCAAGCCGACGAUCCAUAGCUGGUUUGAGAGGAUGAUCAGCCACACUGGGACUGAGACACGGCCCAGACUCCUACGGGAGGCAGCAGUGGGGAAUCUUAGACAAUGGGGGCAACCCUGAUCUAGCCAUGCCGCGUGAGUGAUGAAGGCCUUAGGGUUGUAAAGCUCUUUCAGCUGGGAAGAUAAUGACGGUACCAGCAGAAGAAGCCCCGGCUAACUCCGUC